UACGUAGGGUGCGAGCGUUAAUCGGAAUUACUGGGCGUAAAGUGUGCGCAGGCGGCCGAGCAAGUCGAGUGUGAAAGCCCCGAGCUUAACUUGGGAACUGCGCUCGAAACUACUUGGCUAGAGUGUGGCAGAGGGAGGUAGAAUUCCACGUGUAGCGGUGAAAUGCGUAGAGAUGUGGAGGAACACCGAUGGCGAAGGCAGCCUCCUGGGCCAACACUGACGCUCAUGCACGAAAGCGUGGGGAGCAAACAGG
Molecule: ribosomal RNA, 253 nt
Filed under: uncultured bacterium
Lineage: Bacteria
Description: partial 16S ribosomal RNA
Rfam family: Bacterial small subunit ribosomal RNA
Source: RNAcentral